CCUAUGUGAAACCGAAGUGCAUAGCAUCCUGUAAAGAUAUAUUUGAACGAUAGCCAAACAUCAUCCUGGAAUAUAAAUUAUUUGUUGAAGAGAUGUGAAUCCAAUCUUUAAGGAAUCUUAGAUAAAAGGCAAAAAUACAAUUAAUGGAAUACAAUUGGACGUAAUCGUUCUGGAAGUUAAUUACUCCACUUGAAAGUGACAUACCAUCUCCGUCACUCGUAUCAUCCAACCACACAUCAAAAGUCAUAACGAUAUUUCUGUUUAAAUUUGUACUGAAAAACAAAGUAAGAUACACACGAUGGUUACAGAUAUAUAAUUAAUACAUAGAAUAUGUUAUUUUUGCGAAGUUUAUUGCA
Molecule: long non-coding RNA, 356 nt
Organism: Wasmannia auropunctata (little fire ant)
Lineage: Eukaryota; Metazoa; Arthropoda; Insecta; Hymenoptera; Formicidae
Exons: 3
Source: RefSeq, a predicted model, not a curated record